GUAGUCCACGCCGUAAACGUUGGGCGCUAGAUGUAGGGACCUUUCCACGGUUUCUGUGUCGUAGCUAACGCAUUAAGCGCCCCGCCUGGGGAGUACGGCCGCAAGGCUAAAACUCAAAGGAAUUGACGGGGGCCCGCACAAGCGGCGGAGCAUGCGGAUUAAUUCGAUGCAACGCGAAGAACCUUACCAAGGCUUGACAUACACCGGAAACGGCCAGAGAUGGUCGCCCCCUUGUGGUCGGUGUACAGGUGGUGCAUGGUUGUCGUCAGCUCGUGUCGUGAGAUGUUGGGUUAAGUCCCGCAACGAGCGCAACCCUCGUUCUAUGUUGCCAGCGCGUUAUGGCGGGGACUCAUAGGAGACUGCCGGGGUCAACUCGGA
This 378-nucleotide ribosomal RNA is filed under the name uncultured bacterium. Its description in RNAcentral is "bacterial SSU rRNA". It matches the Rfam family "Bacterial small subunit ribosomal RNA", at positions 790 to 1167 of the family's 1533-position model. The record is from RNAcentral.